This is a long non-coding RNA of Protopterus annectens (West African lungfish), 379 nucleotides long. RefSeq lists it as uncharacterized. The record is from RefSeq and is a predicted model, not a curated record. The transcript is spliced from 3 exons. Lineage: Eukaryota; Metazoa; Chordata; Ceratodontiformes; Protopteridae.
UUAGAGACGCAAUAGGAUUAAGAGUGUGGAUAAUAGGAAGGCUUCUCAGUAUCAGCAGCAGACAGAUUUAUCAGAUGGGUGCUGAAAUUCUGCAGAAAUGGGAAAUGGUCUUUUACAUUCUGAAAUACAGUAGUGACAGGGUUAGUCCACCAAAACUGUUUAGCACCAAAAUAGGCAGCAAAGGCUACUGAACCUCAGAACAACAAAGCACUGCCAUUAACUACAGUUCUGCCAGUUUCUAACAGCAUUCCACUUGAAAACUGAACAGAGAAGCAAAACCACUCAGGAUUUUAUAUUUCAGCAGCCUUUCUCAUAGAAUCAAUAUCAAAUUAAGUAACCGCAAAUAAUACUACAGCUAUUGGUUUCUCACAUAGCAAUA